RNAcentral lists this ribosomal RNA (325 nucleotides) under uncultured eukaryote. Its description in RNAcentral is "partial 18S ribosomal RNA". It matches the Rfam family "Eukaryotic small subunit ribosomal RNA", at positions 1470 to 1796 of the family's 1831-position model. The record is from RNAcentral.
CCCUUAGAUGUUCUGGGCCGCACGCGCGCUACACUGAUGCAUUCAACGAGCCUAUCCUUGACCGACAGGUCCGGGUAAUCUUUGAAUCUGCAUCGUGACGGGGAUAGAUUAUAGCAAUUAUUAAUCUUCAACGAGGAAUGCCUAGUAGGCGCAAGUCAUCAGCUUGCGUCGAUUACGUCCCUGCCCUUUGUACACACCGCCCGUCGCUCCUACCGAUUGGGUGUGCUGGUGAAAUGUUCGGAUCGGCCGUUUGUCGCGGUUUCCGCGUCAUGUGGCUGAGAAGUUCAUUAAACCCUCCCACCUAGAGGAAGGAGAAGUCGUAACA